This 1299-nucleotide ribosomal RNA is filed under the name metagenome. Its description in RNAcentral is "bacterial LSU rRNA". It matches the Rfam family "Bacterial large subunit ribosomal RNA", at positions 1635 to 2925 of the family's 2925-position model. The record is from RNAcentral.
UACACGACCGUACCGCAAACCGACACUGGUGCGCGAGAUGAGUAUUCUAAGGCGCUUGAGAGAACUCAGGAGAAGGAACUCGGCAAAUUGACACCGUAACUUCGGAAGAAGGUGUGCCUUUAGUAGGUGAACCUGUACAAGGGGAGCCCAAUGAGGUUGCAAAAAAUCGGUGGCUGCGACUGUUUAAUAAAAACACAGCACUCUGCAAACACGAAAGUGGACGUAUAGGGUGUGACGCCUGCCCGGUGCUGGAAGAUUAAAUGAUGGGGUGCAAGCUCUUGAUUGAAGUCCCAGUAAACGGCGGCCGUAACGAUAACGGUCCUAAGGUAGCGAAAUUCCUUGUCGGGUAAGUUCCGACCUGCACGAAUGGCGUAACGAUGGCCACACUGUCUCCUCCUGAGACUCAGCGAAGUUGAAAUGUUUGUGAUGAUGCAAUCUCCCCGCGGAAAGACGGAAAGACCCCAUGAACCUUUACUGUAGCUUUGUAUUGGACUUUGAACAGAUCUGUGUAGGAUAGGUGGGAGGCUUUGAAGUGUGGUCGCUAGAUCGCAUGGAGCCAACGUUGAAAUACCACCCUGGUGUGUUUGAGGUUCUAACCUAGGCCCGUAAUCCGGGUCGGGGACAGUGCAUGGUAGGCAGUUUGACUGGGGCGGUCUCCUCCCAAAGCGUAACGGAGGAGUUCGAAGGUACGCUAGGUACGGUCGGACAUGUGCUAAUAGUGCAAUGGCAUAAGCGUGCUUAACUGCGAGACUGACAAGUCGAGCAGAUGCGAAAGCAGGACAUAGUGAUCCGGUGGUUCUGUAUGGAAGGGCCAUCGCUCAACGGAUAAAAGGUACUCUGGGGAUAACAGGCUGAUACCGCCCAAGAGUUCAUAUCGACGGCGGUGUUUGGCACCUCGAUGUCGGCUCAUCUCAUCCUGGGGCUGUAGCCGGUCCCAAGGGUAUGGCUGUUCGCCAUUUAAAGAGGUACGUGAGCUGGGUUUAAAACGUCGUGAGACAGUUUGGUCCCUAUCUUCCGUGGGCGCUGCAGAUUUGAGGAAGCCUGCUCCUAGUACGAGAGGACCGGAGUGGACACACCUCUGGUGUAUCGGUUGUCACGCCAGUGGCAUUGCCGAGUAGCUAUGUGUGGAAGAGAUAACCGCUGAAAGCAUCUAAGCGGGAAACUCGUUUCAAGAUGAGAUCUGCCGGGGCCUUGAGCCCCCUAAAGAGUCGUUCAAGACCAGGACGUUGAUAGGUCGGGUGUGGAAGCGCAGUAAUGCGUUAAGCUAACCGAUACUAAUUGCUCGUGCGGCUUGACCAA